This 2422-nucleotide small RNA is filed under the name Pongo abelii (Sumatran orangutan). Its description in RNAcentral is "processed transcript". Lineage: Eukaryota; Metazoa; Chordata; Mammalia; Primates; Hominidae. The record is from RNAcentral.
AGGCAGUUACACUGUUAGGCAGCAACAGUGCUGAUGCUGGACUGUGGCAGGCAGAGGGUGCUAUCCUGACACACUUCACCUUAGUGCAGGAAACUUCAAUUUGGUGGAAGAAAGGCGAUUUCGAGGUGCCAAUCUGGGCGACACUUCCCAGUUAGAGAGUCAGCAAAAGGGAGAGGGCAAUUCCAAGAAGAGGGAAAAGCUUGUGCACAGUGUACCUCCUUUAUUCCUGAAGCCCGGGCGGUGCUUGACCUGGUCAACCAGUGCCCAAAACAGGUCCAGAAAGGAAAGUUCCAAGUUGUUGCCAUCGAAGGACUGGAUGCCACGGGUAAAACCACAGUGACCCAGUCAGUGGCAGAUGCACUUAAGGCUGUCCUCUUAAAGUCACCACCCUCUUGCAUUGGCCAGUGGAGGAAGAUCUUUGAUGAUGAACCAACUAUCAUUAGAAGAGCUUUUUACUCUUUGGGCAAUUAUAUUGUGGCCUCUGAAAUAGCUAAAGAAUCUGCCAAAUCUCCUGUGAUUGUAGACAGGUACUGGCACAGCACAGCCACCUAUGCCAUAGCCACUGAGGUGAGUGGGGGUCUCCAGCACCUGCCCCCAGCCCAUCACCCUAUAUACCAGUGGCCAGAGGACCUGCUCAAACCUGACCUCAUCCUGCUGCUCACCGUGAGUCCUGAGGAGAGGUUGCAGAGGCUGCAGGGCCGGGGCAUGGAGAAGACCAGGGAAGAAGCAGAACUUGAGGCCAACAGUGUGUUUCGCCAAAAGGUAGAAAUGUCCUACCAGAGGAUGGAGAAUCCUGGCUGCCAUGUGGUUGAUGCCAGCCCCUCCAGAGAAAAGGUCCUGCAGACGGUAUUAAGCCUAAUCCAAAAUAGUUUUAAUGAACCGUAGUUAUUCUGGCCAGGUGCCAUGUCUAACUAGAUUAGAUGUUGUUUGAAACAUCUACAUCCACCAUUUGUUAUGCAGUGUUCCCAAAUUUCUGUUGUACAAGCAUGUUGUGUGGCAGAAAACUGGAGAUCAGGCAUCUUAAUUUUACUUCAGCCAUCGUACCCUCUUCUGACUGAUGGACCCGUCAUCACAAAGGACCCUCUCAUCAUGUUCCAGUGAGAGGCCAGUGAUUGCUUUCUUCCUGGCAUAGUAAAUAUUUUCUUGGAACAUGUGUUUCACUUAAUCACUACCAAAUAUCUGGAAGACCUGUCUUCCUCAGACAGCACCAGGUGUACAGAAGCAGCAGAGAAGAUCUUCCAGAUCAGCAGGGAGCCCCCAGCGCCUCUCCUUCUCCUACAGUGGCAUGCUGAUGAGAUCGUGACGUGCCCACAUUGGCGUCUUCCACAUCUGGUUGCACUCGUCAUGAUGGGCUCGCUGCAUCUCCCUCAGUCCCAAAUUCUAGAGCCAAGUGUUCCUGCAGAGGCUGUCUAUGUGUCCUGGCUGUCCAAGGACACUCCCGCAGAGCCAUUUUUGGGUAAGAAACACUUACAAAGAAGGCAUUGAUCUUGUGUCUGAGGCUCAGAGCUCUUUUGAUAGGCUUCUGAGUCAUAUAUAAAGACAUUUAAGCCAAGACGCUCCAACUGCAAAUAUACCAACCUUCUCUGAAUUGUAUUUUGCUUAUUUAUAUUCGUUUUCUUUUUUUCUAAAGUAUGGCUCUGAAUAGAAUGCACAUUUUCCAUUGAACUGGAUGCAUUUCAUUUAGCCAAUCCAGUAAUUUAUUUAUAUUGAUCUAUACAUAAUAUGUUUCCUCAGCAUAGGAGCUAUGAUUCAUUAAUUAAAAGUGGAGUCAAAACGCUAAAUGCAAUGUUUGUUGUGUAUUUUCAUUACACAAACUUAAUUUGUCUUGUUCAAUAAGUACAGUGGAUCUUGGAGUGGGAUUUCUUGGUAAAUUAUCUUGCACUUGAAUGUCUCGUGAUUACAUAUGAAAUCGCUUUGAGAUAUCUUUAGACAGAAAAAAGUAGCUGAGUGAAGGGGAAAUUAUAGAGCUAUGUGACUUUAGGGAGUAGGUUGAACCAGGUGAUUACCUAAAAUUCCUUCCAGUUCAAAGGCAGAUAAAUCUGUAAAUUAUUUUAUCCUAUCUACCAUUUCUUAAUAAUACAUUACCCCCAAAAUAAUUCAAUUUAAGGCUUUAUCAGGUUUGCAUAUAGAAUCUUAAAUUCUAAUAGAGUUUCAUGUUAAUGUCAUAGGAUUUUUAAAAGAGCUAUAGGCAAUUUCUAUAUAAUAUAUCUAUGUAUAUUAAAAUGUAAUGGAUUUCAUUUGAAAGUAUUUUAAAGCUGAUAAAUAGCAUUAGGGUUCUUUGCAAUGUGGUAUCUAGCUCUAUUAUUGGUUUUAUUUACUUUAAACAUUUUGAAAAGCUUAUACUGGCAGCCUAGAAAAACAAACAAUUAAUGUAUCUUUAUGUCCCUUGCACAUGAAUAAACUUUGCUGUGGUUUACUAAUC